This 253-nucleotide ribosomal RNA is filed under the name uncultured Luteolibacter sp. RNAcentral's name for it is "partial 16S ribosomal RNA". It matches the Rfam family "Bacterial small subunit ribosomal RNA", at positions 524 to 776 of the family's 1533-position model. Lineage: Bacteria; Pseudomonadati; Verrucomicrobiota; Verrucomicrobiia; Verrucomicrobiales; Verrucomicrobiaceae. The record is from RNAcentral.
UACGAAGGUCCCGAGCGUUGUUCGGAUUCACUGGGCGUAAAGGGAGCGUAGGCGGCGCGGUAAGUCAGAUGUGAAAUCCCGGGGCUCAACCCCGGAACUGCAUCCGAUACUGCCGUGCUAGAGGAUUGGAGAGGUAGCUGGAAUUCUUGGUGUAGCAGUGAAAUGCGUGGAGAUCAAGAGGAACACUCGUGGCGAAAGCGAGCUACUGGACAAUAUCUGACGCUGAGGCUCGAAGGCCAGGGUAGCGAAAGGG